This 315-nucleotide long non-coding RNA is filed under the name Oreochromis niloticus (Nile tilapia). RNAcentral describes it as "lncRNA (ENSONIG00000029321.1)". The record is from RNAcentral. Lineage: Eukaryota; Metazoa; Chordata; Actinopteri; Cichliformes; Cichlidae.
GACCCCCAGGUUGUGGCAUGUUGGCAUAACCCUAGAUAGUAACAUGCUGUUCUGUUUGUCAUUCCAGGACAACAUGGACAGGAAGUGAAGCCAGCUCUGAGAAUAAUCUAAAGGCACCCGUGACAGUUUGUAACAUCAGAACUACCGUAAGCUGAAGUCUGAUUGGAGGAAUGGCGUGCCAAUCGACCCUGCACCAGUGAUCAGGCCAGGACACUCCAGUGGUGACAUCCUGUGGAGCCAUAGAUUAAAGUAAGUACCUCACAGAAACAUCAGUAGACACCAGCAUUUGGUUAAGAAACGCGACUCGUGCACCAG